Molecule: ribosomal RNA, 429 nt
Filed under: uncultured eukaryote
Lineage: Eukaryota
Description: bacterial SSU rRNA
Rfam family: Eukaryotic small subunit ribosomal RNA
Source: RNAcentral
UUCUGUUUGUAAGAGUCGAAGCUUUACAGCUAAGAUUUCUUCGAACAUCUGUUUGCAAGCAUACGUUCGGCCUUCACUGGUUGGCUAUGUAAGCAAGCGUUUUACUUUGAGAAAAUUAGAGUGUUUAAAGCAGCCUCUUGGGGCACUGAAUACAUUAGCAUGGGAUAAUAAAAUAGGAUCUUCACAAUAUAUUUUUAUUGGUUUUAAAAUUGCGUAUGAAGAUAAUGAUUAAUAGGGACAGUUGGGGGUAUUCAUAUUGGGUGGUUAGCGGUGAAAUGCUCGGAUCCAUUCAAGAUGAACUAAAGCGAAAGCAUUUACCAAGGAUGUUUUCAUUAAUCAAGAACGAAAGUUAAGGGAUCGAAGACGAUUAGAUACCGUCGUAGUCUUAACUAUAAACUAUGCCGACCAGGGAUAUGAGUUGUUAGGAUA